RNAcentral lists this long non-coding RNA (1115 nucleotides) under Theobroma cacao (cacao). RNAcentral's name for it is "long non-coding RNA (TCAC_LNC005879)". The record is from RNAcentral. Lineage: Eukaryota; Viridiplantae; Streptophyta; Magnoliopsida; Malvales; Malvaceae.
UUCUUAUUUUCACCAAAAGAUAUUUUCUUCUUCUUUCUAACCCUUCCACGCCAUUUUCUCUUUCUCCACCAUAAAAUCAAAUUAUCUUUCAUUUUCUUUCCUUUCUUUCUUCUCCUUUCCUAUCUUUUCUUACUUCUUUUUUCUCUUAACUUCUUAGGCACCAAACCUACAGCUUCUAACCCCAUUUUCCAGCAUAACCAAACCCUAGGAGAGAGAAGGAAAAAAUCUCUCUUUCUUUCCUUUAUUUUCUAUUUCUACUCCACCAUCACCAACACUUAAAUUUUCAACUUUAAAUCUCCAUUUUUAAGGCUAAAAGGUAUAUAUUUUUAACUCUUGGAAUUUAUGAAUUUAUGGGUUAUAUUUUCAGAUUUUAUUUCCUAAUUUCUUCAAAUUCUUUUUCUUGGAAAUAUUAGGUUUUUGUUGAUCUUUAUGCCUCCAAGCUCACCAAGGUAAAAACCUUUAAAUUGAAAUAGUUGAUAUGAUGGGUUUGAGAAUCAUAUUAGAAUUCUAGGUUAAAAAUUAAGCUAGAAUGUAGUUUAUCAAGAGUAUGCUUACUAGAAUUAUUAAGUUUAAAUUUAUGAUAUAUUUGAAGCUAUUAUUGUUUAUUGACAAUUAUAGGUUUUAAUGGUAUUUUGGGACUACUUGGAUUAAGAUCUUAUGGGUGCUAGUCUUGUUAGGUGGCAUUGUUAAGGUGAGUGAACUUGCAUUAAAUUAUUUUUGAGAAAUACACAUGUGUUGGGAUAAAGCACUUAAAUGAUUUUAUUUGAUUUUUUUCUCUAAAUCAUGCUUGGGAACAAGCCUUGAUGAAACUUUUAUGUUGUAAAAUGUGUAAUGUGAUGAACCCAUGUGUUCCUAUAUUCUGAUGAUAUAUAUGUUAUGCUUUAAAUGAUAAUAUUGUGUGAUAAUUGUAACAGCGCGUGUGCGGUGUGGGAGUGUACAUGUCGGUGAUGACGGGUGAUUCUAGCUAUGUGCAGUGUGGGAGUGCACAUGAGCUGAUGACCGGUGGAUGAUGAUUCCAGCUAUGUGCGGUGUGGGAGUGCACAUGAGCUGAUGACCGAUGGGUGAUGAUUCUAGCCAUGUGCAGUGUGGGAGUGCACAUGAGCUGAUGAGCCGAU